RNAcentral lists this ribosomal RNA (253 nucleotides) under uncultured bacterium. Its description in RNAcentral is "partial 16S ribosomal RNA". It matches the Rfam family "Bacterial small subunit ribosomal RNA", at positions 524 to 776 of the family's 1533-position model. The record is from RNAcentral.
UACGGGGGGGGCAAGCGUUGUUCGGAAUUACUGGGCGUAAAGGGCUCGUAGGCGGCCAACUAAGUCGGACGUGAAAUCCCCAGGCUCAACCUGGGAACUGCGUCCGAUACUGGAUGGCUUGAAUUCGGGAGAGGGAUGCAGAAUUCCAGGUGUAGCGGUGAAAUGCGUAGAUAUCGGGAGGAACACCUGUGGCGAAAGCGGCUCACUGGACCAUUACUGACGCUGAUGCACGAAAGCUAGGGGAGCAAACAGG